This 253-nucleotide ribosomal RNA is filed under the name uncultured bacterium. RNAcentral describes it as "partial 16S ribosomal RNA". It matches the Rfam family "Bacterial small subunit ribosomal RNA", at positions 524 to 776 of the family's 1533-position model. The record is from RNAcentral.
UACGGAGGGUGCGAGCGUUGUCCGGAAUCACUGGGCGUAAAGGGCGUGUAGGCGGCCUGUUAAGUCGGGGGUGAAAUCCUGCGGCUUAACCGCAGGGCUGCCUUCUAAACUGUCAGGCUAGAGUACAGUAGAGGCAGGUGGAAUUCCCGGUGUAGCGGUGGAAUGCGUAGAGAUCGGGAAGAACAUCAGUGGCGAAGGCGGCCUGCUGGGCUGUUGCUGACGCUGAGGCGCGACAGCGUGGGGGGCAAACAGG